UUAGUGAACCAGUACCGUGAGGGAAAGGCGAAAAGAACCCCGGCGAGGGGAGUGAAAAAGAACCUGAAACCGUGUACGUACAAGCAGUGGGAGCACAGGUUUACCUGUGUGACUGCGUACCUUUUGUAUAAUGGGUCAGCGACUUAUAUUCUGUAGCAAGGUUAACCGAAUAGGGGAGCCGGAGGGAAACCGAGUCUUAAUUGGGCGUUAAGUUGCAGGGUAUAGACCCGAAACCCGGUGAUCUAGCCAUGGGCAGGUUGAAGGUUGGGUAACACUAACUGGAGGACCGAACCGACUAAUGUUGAAAAAUUAGCGGAUGACCUGUGGCUGGGGGUGAAAGGCCAAUCAAACCGGGAGAUAGCUGGUUCUCCCCGAAAGCUAUUUAGGUAGCGCCUCGUGAAUUCAUCUCCGGGGGUAGAGCACUGUUUCGGCUAGGGGGCCAUCCCGGCUUACCAACCCGAUGCAAACUGCGAAUACCGGAGAAUGUUAUCACGGGAGACACACGGCGGGUGCUAACGUCCGUCGUGAAGAGGGAAACAACCCAGACCGCCAGCUAAGGUCCCAAAGUCAUGGUUAAGUGGGAAACGAUGUGGGAAGGCCCAGACAGCCAGGAUGUUGGCUUAGAAGCAGCCAUCAUUUAAAGAAAGCGUAAUAGCUCACUGGUCGAGUCGGCCUGCGCGGAAGAUGUAACGGGGCUAAACCAUGCACCGAAGCUGCGGCAGCGANNGUUGGGUAGGGGAGCGUUCUGUAAGCCUGUGAAGGUGUGUCGUGAGGCAUGCUGGAGGUAUCAGAAGUGCGAAUGCUGACAUAAGUAACGAUAAAGCGGGUGAAAAGCCCGCUCGCCGGAAGACCAAGGGUUCCUGUCCAACGUUAAUCGGGGCAGGGUGAGUCGACCCCUAAGGCGAGGCCGAAAGGCGUAGUCGAUGGGAAACGGGUUAAUAUUCCCGUACUUGGUGUUACUGCGAAGGGGGGACGGAGAAGGCUAUGUUGGCCGGGCGACGGUUGUCCCGGUUUAAGCGUGUAGGUGUGUGUUCCAGGUAAAUCCGGUUCACUUUAACACUGAGGCGUGAUGACGAGGCACUACGGUGCUGAAGUAACAAAUGCCCUGCUUCCAGGAAAAGCCUCUAAGCAUCAGGUAACAUCAAAUCGUACCCCAAACCGACACAGGUGGUCAGGUAGAGAAUACCAAGGCGCUUGAGAGAACUCGGGUGAAGGAACUAGGCAAAAUGGUGCCGUAACUUCGGGAGAAGGCACGCUGACACGUAGGUGAAGUGAUUUACUCAUGGAGCUGAAGUCAGUCGAAGAUACCAGCUGGCUGCAACUGUUUAUUAAAAACACAGCACUGUGCAAACACGAAAGUGGACGUAUACGGUGUGACGCCUGCCCGGUGCCGGAAGGUUAAUUGAUGGGGUCAGCGCAAGCGAAGCUCCUGAUCGAAGCCCCGGUAAACGGCGGCCGUAACUAUAACGGUCCUAAGGUAGCGAAAUUCCUUGUCGGGUAAGUUCCGACCUGCACGAAUGGCGUAAUGAUGGCCAGGCUGUCUCCACCCGAGACUCAGUGAAAUUGAACUCGCUGUGAAGAUGCAGUGUACCCGCGGCAAGACGGAAAGACCCCGUGAACCUUUACUAUAGCUUGACACUGAACAUUGAGCCUUGAUGUGUAGGAUAGGUGGGAGGCUUUGAAGUGUGGACGCCAGUCUGCAUGGAGCCGACCUUGAAAUACCACCCUUUAAUGUUUGAUGUUCUAACGUGGACCCGUGAUCCGGGUUGCGGACAGUGUCUGGUGGGUAGUUUGACUGGGGCGGUCUCCUCCUAAAGAGUAACGGAGGAGCACGAAGGUUGGCUAAUCCUGGUCGGACAUCAGGAGGUUAGUGCAAUGGCAUAAGCCAGCUUGACUGCGAGCGUGACGGCGCGAGCAGGUGCGAAAGCAGGUCAUAGUGAUCCGGUGGUUCUGAAUGGAAGGGCCAUCGCUCAACGGAUAAAAGGUACUCCGGGGAUAACAGGCUGAUACCGCCCAAGAGUUCAUAUCGACGGCGGUGUUUGGCACCUCGAUGUCGGCUCAUCACAUCCUGGGGCUGAAGUAGGUCCCAAGGGUAUGGCUGUUCGCCAUUUAAAGUGGUACGCGAGCUGGGUUUAGAACGUCGUGAGACAGUUCGGUCCCUAUCUGCCGUGGGCGCUGGAGAACUGAGGGGGGCUGCUCCUAGUACGAGAGGACCGGAGUGGACGCAUCACUGGUGUUCGGGUUGUCAUGCCAAUGGCACUGCCCGGUAGCUAAAUGCGGAAGAGAUAAGUGCUGAAAGCAUCUAAGCACGAAACUUGCCCCGAGAUGAGUUCUCCCUGAGACUUAAAGUCUCCUGAAGGAACGUUGAAGACGACGACGUUGAUAGGCCGGGUGUGUAAGCGCAGCGAUGCGUUGAGCUAACCGGUACUAAUGAACCGUGAGGCUUAACCUU
Molecule: ribosomal RNA, 2452 nt
Filed under: Salmonella enterica subsp. enterica serovar Dublin
Lineage: Bacteria; Pseudomonadati; Pseudomonadota; Gammaproteobacteria; Enterobacterales; Enterobacteriaceae
Description: bacterial LSU rRNA
Rfam family: Bacterial large subunit ribosomal RNA
Source: RNAcentral